AUCCUGAGUACGGCGGAACACGUGAAAUUCCGUCGGAAUCUGGGAGGACCAUCUCCCAAGGCUAAAUACUCUCUAGUGACCGAUAGUGAACCAGUACCGUGAGGGAAAGGUGAAAAGCACCCCGGAAGGGGAGUGAAAUAGAACCUGAAACCGUGUGCUUACAAAUAGUCAGAGCCCGUUAAUGGGUGAUGGCGUGCCUUUUGUAGAAUGAACCGGCGAGUUACGAUUUGAUGCAAGGUUAAGCAGUAAAUGUGGAGCCGUAGCGAAAGCGAGUCUGAAUAGGGCGAAUGAGUAUCUGGUCGUAGACCCGAAACCAAGUGAUCUACCCAUGUCCAGGUUGAAGUUCAGGUAACACUGAAUGGAGGACCGAACCGACUUACGUUGAAAAGUGAGCGGAUGAGGUGUGGGUAGCGGAGAAAUUCCAAUCGAACUUGGAGAUAGCUGGUUCUCUCCGAAAUAGCUUUAGGGCUAGCCUCAAGUGAUGAUUAUUGGAGGUAGAG
RNAcentral lists this ribosomal RNA (500 nucleotides) under Salmonella enterica subsp. enterica serovar Muenster. RNAcentral describes it as "bacterial LSU rRNA". It matches the Rfam family "Bacterial large subunit ribosomal RNA", at positions 405 to 907 of the family's 2925-position model. The record is from RNAcentral. Lineage: Bacteria; Pseudomonadati; Pseudomonadota; Gammaproteobacteria; Enterobacterales; Enterobacteriaceae.